AUUGAACGCUGGCGGCAGGCCUAACACAUGCAAGUCGAACGGUAACAGGAAGCAGCUUGCUGCUUUGCUGACGAGUGGCGGACGGGUGAGUAAUGUCUGGGAAACUGCCCGAUGGAGGGGGAUAACUACUGGAAACGGUAGCUAAUACCGCAUAACGUCGCAAGACCAAAGAGGGGGACCUUAGGGCCUCUUGCCAUCGGAUGUGCCCAGAUGGGAUUAGCUAGUAGGUGGGGUAACGGCUCACCUAGGCGACGAUCCCUAACUGGUCUGAGAGGAUGACCAGCCACACUGGAACUGAGACACGGUCCAGACUCCUACGGGAGGCAGCAGUGGGGAAUAUUGCACAAUGGGCGCAAGCCUGAUGCAGCCAUGCCGCGUGUAUGAAGAAGGCCUUCGGGUUGUAAAGUACUUUCAGCGGGGAGGAAGGGAGUAAAGUUAAUACCUUUGCUCAUUGACGUUACCCGCAGAAGAAGCACCGGCUAACUCCGU
RNAcentral lists this ribosomal RNA (489 nucleotides) under uncultured bacterium. RNAcentral describes it as "partial 16S ribosomal RNA". It matches the Rfam family "Bacterial small subunit ribosomal RNA", at positions 30 to 506 of the family's 1533-position model. The record is from RNAcentral.